AAAAAGAUAAGCUAAAAAAGCUAAUGGGUUCAUACCUCAUCUAUGAAAUUAUAUUUCUCUUUUUA
Molecule: transfer RNA, 65 nt
Filed under: Oliarus cf. filicicola HI01081
Lineage: Eukaryota; Metazoa; Arthropoda; Insecta; Hemiptera; Cixiidae
Description: tRNA-Met
Source: RNAcentral